This 75-nucleotide transfer RNA is filed under the name Armatimonadota bacterium. RNAcentral describes it as "Armatimonadetes bacterium tRNA-Pro". It matches the Rfam family "tRNA". Rfam says of the family: Transfer RNA (tRNA) molecules are approximately 80 nucleotides in length. Their secondary structure includes four short double-helical elements and three loops (D, anti-codon, and T loops). The record is from RNAcentral. Lineage: Bacteria; Bacillati; Armatimonadota.
CGGAGACUAGUUCAUCGGUAGAACGCUCGCAUGGGGUGCGAGAAGUACGGGGUUCAAUUCCCCGGUCUCCGACUA